This 377-nucleotide ribosomal RNA is filed under the name uncultured eukaryote. RNAcentral's name for it is "partial 18S ribosomal RNA". It matches the Rfam family "Eukaryotic small subunit ribosomal RNA", at positions 592 to 976 of the family's 1831-position model. The record is from RNAcentral.
CAAUAGCGUAUAUUAAAGUUGUUGCAGUUAAAAAGCUCGUAGUUGGAUUUCGGGGCAGCCUGGCUGGUCCGCCGCAAGGCGAGUACUGGUCAGCCGCCCUUCCUCUCGAAAGCCCCGACUGCUCUUUAUUGCAGUGGUCGGGUAGUUCGGGACGUUUACUUUGAAAAAAUUAGAGUGUUCAAGGCAGGCCUACGCCUGAAUACAUUAGCAUGGAAUAAUGGAAGAGGACCUCGGUCCUAUUUUGUUGGUUUCCAGGACCGAAGUAAUGAUUAAGAGGGACAGUUGGGGGCAUUCGUAUUUAAUUGUCAGAGGUGAAAUUCUCGGAUUUAUGAAAGACGAACAACUGCGAAAGCAUUUGCCAAGGGUGUUUUCAUUAA